UACGGAGGGUGCAAGCGUUAUCCGGAUUUACUGGGUUUAAAGGGUGCGUAGGUGGAUUUGUAAGUCAGUGGUGAAAUCUCCGGGCUUAACCCGGAAACUGCCAUUGAUACUAUAAGUCUUGAAUUAUCUGGAGGUAAGCGGAAUAUGUCAUGUAGCGGUGAAAUGCUUAGAUAUGACAUAGAACACCAAUUGCGAAGGCAGCUCACUACGGAUAUAUUGACACUGAGGCACGAAAGCGUGGGGAUCAAACAGG
Molecule: ribosomal RNA, 253 nt
Filed under: uncultured bacterium
Lineage: Bacteria
Description: partial 16S ribosomal RNA
Rfam family: Bacterial small subunit ribosomal RNA
Source: RNAcentral